Molecule: long non-coding RNA, 290 nt
Organism: Anopheles gambiae (African malaria mosquito)
Lineage: Eukaryota; Metazoa; Arthropoda; Insecta; Diptera; Culicidae
Exons: 2
Source: RefSeq, a predicted model, not a curated record
UUCCAUAUUAAGCUAGCAAAAAUAGAAUUAAUCAAUGAAGAUCAUUUUAGCAAAUCAAUCUCAACGAGACUGCAAUAUGUUUUCGUUUUUUUAAACAAUUUAUUUCCGUUUUUGGUUCUUGUGGCAAUCAAGCAAGGAGAUUUCCGAUUUCGGAUCUGAAGAUGCAAUCAAUACGGAAAUCUACAAAGGACAAAGUGGGAACUUUGGUUCGAAGCAAUAAGGUUGACAUGAAUAGGCACAAUAGCCCCAGCGUUUAUUGGGAUACCAGCACUCGGACCCUAUUAAAACAG